Molecule: long non-coding RNA, 346 nt
Organism: Oncorhynchus tshawytscha (Chinook salmon)
Lineage: Eukaryota; Metazoa; Chordata; Actinopteri; Salmoniformes; Salmonidae
Source: Ensembl
GGGUGUGGCCAGGCACUGUGGAUGGAGGUGUGGCCAGACACUGGGGAUGGGGGUGUGGCCAGGCACUGUGGAUGGGGGUGUGGCCAGGCACUAGGGAUGGAGGUGUGGCCAGGCACUGGGGAUGGGGGUGUGGCCAGGCACUGGGGAUGGGGGUGUGGCCAGGCACUGUGGAUGGAGGUGUGGCCAGACACUGGGGAUGGGGGUGUGGCCAGGCACUGUGGAUGGGGGUGUGGCCAGGCACUGGGGAUGGAGGUGUGGCCAGGCACUGGGGAUGGAGGUGUGGCCAGGCACUGGGGAUGGAGGUGUGGCCAGGCACUGGGGAUUGAGGUGUGGCCAGGCACUGGGG